AUUGAACGCUGGCGGCAGGCCUAACACAUGCAAGUCGAGCGGAUGAAGGGAGCUUGCUCCUGGAUUCAGCGGCGGACGGGUGAGUAAUGCCUAGGAAUCUGCCUGGUAGUGGGGGAUAACGUCCGGAAACGGGCGCUAAUACCGCAUACGUCCUGAGGGAGAAAGUGGGGGAUCUUCGGACCUCACGCUAUCAGACGAGCCUAGGUCGGAUUAGCUAGUUGGUGGGGUAAAGGCCUACCAAGGCGACGAUCCGUAACUGGUCUGAGAGGAUGAUCAGUCACACUGGAACUGAGACACGGUCCAGACUCCUACGGGAGGCAGCAGUGGGGAAUAUUGGACAAUGGGCGAAAGCCUGAUCCAGCCAUGCCGCGUGUGUGAAGAAGGUCUUCGGAUUGUAAAGCACUUUAAGUUGGGAGGAAGGGCAGUAAGUUAAUACCUUGCUGUUUUGACGUUACCAACAGAAUAAGCACCGGCUAACUUCGU
RNAcentral lists this ribosomal RNA (483 nucleotides) under uncultured bacterium. RNAcentral describes it as "partial 16S ribosomal RNA". It matches the Rfam family "Bacterial small subunit ribosomal RNA", at positions 30 to 506 of the family's 1533-position model. The record is from RNAcentral.